CCGGAUAGUAUCUUGAACSGCAUGGKUCAAGKUGGAAAGACGGUKUCGGCUGUSACUUACAGAUGGGCCCGCGGCGCAUUAGCUAGUUGGUGAGGUAAUGGCUCACCAAGGCAACGAUGCGUAGCCGACCUGAGAGGGUGAUCGGCCACACUGGGACUGAGACACGGCCCAGACUCUACGGGAGGCAGCAGUAGGGAAUCUUCCGCAAUGGACGAAAGUCUGACGGAGCAACGCCGCGUGAGUGAUGAAGGUUUUCGGAUCGUAAAACUCUGUUGUUAGGGAAGAACAAGUGCGAGAGUAACUGCUCGCACCUUGACGGUACCUAACCAGAAAGCCACGGCUAACUACGUGCCAGCAGCCGCGGUAAUACGUAGGUGGCAAGCGUUGUCCGGAAUUAUUGGGCGUAAAGCGCGCGCAGGCGGUUUCUUAAGUCUGAUGUGAAAGCCCCCGGCUCAACCGGGGAGGGUCAUUGGAAACUGGGAAACUUGAGUGCAGAAGAGGAGAGUGGAAUUCCACGUGUAGCGGUGAAAUGCGUAGAGAUGUGGAGGAACACCAGUGGCGAAGGCGACUCUCUGGUCUGUAACUGACGCUGAGGCGCGAAAGCG
Molecule: ribosomal RNA, 605 nt
Filed under: Bacillus sp. 21ox
Lineage: Bacteria; Bacillati; Bacillota; Bacilli; Caryophanales; Bacillaceae
Description: bacterial SSU rRNA
Rfam family: Bacterial small subunit ribosomal RNA
Source: RNAcentral